RNAcentral lists this ribosomal RNA (301 nucleotides) under uncultured bacterium. Its description in RNAcentral is "partial 16S ribosomal RNA". It matches the Rfam family "Bacterial small subunit ribosomal RNA", at positions 509 to 807 of the family's 1533-position model. The record is from RNAcentral.
CAGUCGCCGCGGUAAUACGUAGGUGGCAAGCGUUGUCCGGAAUUAUUGGGCGUAAAGGGCUCGCAGGCGGUUUCUUAAGUCUGAUGUGAAAGCCCCCGGCUCAACCGGGGAGGGUCAUUGGAAACUGGGAAACUUGAGCGCAGAAGAGGAGAGUGGAAUUCCACGUGUAGCGGUGAAAUGCGUAGAGAUGUGGAGGAACACCAGUGGCGAAGGCGACUCUCUGGUCUGUAACUGACGCUGAGGAGCGAAAGCGUGGGGAGCGAACAGGAUUAGAUACCCCUGUAGUCCCUGUCUCUUAUAC